Long non-coding RNA from Xiphophorus hellerii (green swordtail), 3399 nucleotides. RefSeq lists it as uncharacterized. Lineage: Eukaryota; Metazoa; Chordata; Actinopteri; Cyprinodontiformes; Poeciliidae. The transcript is spliced from 2 exons. The record is from RefSeq and is a predicted model, not a curated record.
GCCGUUUCUCCCGCUAGCGCUAGACUUUCACGUUUGUUUUGGUUUUACGUACCCAGAAUGCCCUGCGCUGUAGUCCACUUCCGCUUAGCAUACGCAUAUACAUUCGAAUCAUACCAGAUUUCACUUUAAUCUAACAAGAUCUAGGUUUGUUGGCGGAGCAGAGUUUGCGUCUUUGGUCACAUCUCCCCAAGCAAACCGGACUUUCUAUAUAGAUUAAAUCGGAUUGAACGUGGCUGGUGUGAAUGCAACCUAAGUUUAAUUUGAUAAAGUCCGGUAUCAUGGAUCUGGAGCUUAUUUAUGAUGCUAGGAUACUCAGACUACUCCUCUAUCCCAACAACAACAGCUACGUUUCUCUAUGAAGUUUGUGGGCUUCUAUAUCAUAUGUAUGUAAGUUAGUUUUGUCCUAUUUCAGUAUUUGCAUGAGAAGCUAAACCUGAAAUACUUGGCAAAUUUCAGUGUGUUUGGUAUUGUUAUCAAUCUACCUUAAACUUGAUUACAGAACUGCGGCUGAAUGCCUUGUGAUGUGACUACUACAUGAAAAACCAAGAAAACUAAGAAGCAGGGAGAAUAUUUUCCCCUUCAGGAUUCAGUUUCACGAGUGGACAGAUGCUGUGAAAAUCUGGUCCGUCACAGAUGCAACGGAUUUUACAACCAGCACAUGGUACAGUAAACAGCUUGCAGAGCUGAUCGAUUGAGCUGGGAGUCGGUGACAUCGAACCUGGCCACUGUCUUCCACUCUUCCCAGCUUCACAGAGACAGAGAUUUCACUGCAGUCACAGGACUGCCAGGAAAAUGGGAUUAUCUGCCAUAAAUGCCAGCAAAUGGGAGAUGAGUAUUUGUAGUCACAGAUUUUCAAUGGGAAAAUCUUUAGGAAUGAAAUCUCUUGCAGUUUUUGUUUGUUUUGUUUUGUUUUUUUUUGCUUGAAAGUACCCUUGAGCCUAGCAUUUAAUUAUUGACUACUGAGCAGCAUCAGGGCUCAGCUGCAUUGAGCAACUUCUUAAUGCGAAAGGAGGUUUUUCUUUUAUUUACACCUGCUGUGGACUGAAAAAUGUGAUUUAAAGAGACAACCGAGACUUAAAAUGCUAAAUCAAAACACGGCUUUUUAGAGAACACUGGAGAGCAACAAAAACUCAAAAAGAUGUCAAAUAAAAACAGAGUUUUUGGGCGUUACAGGAAUCAAACUCUUUCAUUUUGGUUGUUUCCAGUAGGAUUUAUCUCUGGCGUGGUUGUACGUCUUUAUCAGCAGCCUAAUUUUUAGUUUCCAAAACAGAUUUUACACACAGUCAGGCUGAAUGUACAUCUGAAGGAGACGUGAUGGAGGGAGUGACCAUCCUGUUGUGGUGCAGAACUGCAAAACUGUAGACUCAGGUCUUUAUUUACCUUUUCCAACUUUUUACUUCUGGUCAUAAAAUCUGGAUAACAUCAGAAAGAGCAAAACUCUGGACCAGGCAAAUGGUCCUCCAUGUCCAAAUUACUUGGAUUUGUAAAGGUCUAGGGUUACCUAACAUCUUUGCAGACCCCACACAUACUGGACACAAAAUGUGUAGACUUUUACCUUCCUUUAAACACGUUGGGAUCCUGGAUAAGGAUAACAAGAGCAUGGAAAUGGGUGGAUAGACUUCAGAAAAGCCAAGAAUAAAACCAAACAUCCAUCAGAAUUAGCCGUACAUUCAAACAUUCAGCCUUUCAACUUCCUUCAGGAAGCUGUGUUCGGUGAGUAGAGUCGUCCGUGUUUCCACCAAUGUUUGCUUUUGAGUGAAGAAACUAAUAAUGAAUCUGCUUCAGGUAGAAAACAGAGAAAUCCCUCGAGGUCCUCCUGAACAGGAACCUUUCUCCAGAUGUCUACCUCGACACGCCUGAUGGAUUAGUGUGUUUGUAUCUUCAUUAGGCUGCGGGGUUAAAAUCUAACCAGUCAAAUUGCUCAUUUAAUUAUGAGACUUAUUGGAGGAUUGAUUAUAAUUAGAGCUGCCUGAUGGGAAGUUAAUACCCGUCAAUUAGGCACGAGAUAACGGCGUAACGAAGAAGAAACGCCGCUCGAGGUUUUCCCCUCGCUGCAGUGGCGGAUGACAAAGAUUCCAGGCUGGCCUCAAUCUGUCUUCAAGAAGACGUAGAUUUGAAUAUUAAAUACCUUUUUUCAUACAAAAGGAGAACAGUUUCUCUCCUGGGAGACUCGCCUUAACAUUGUGUACUCUUUUGAAGCAUCUGCUCCUUUUUAUACUCAGGCUUACGUUUACAUGAAGAGCUGCCAGGAACAGUGAAAACUCAUGGUUUCCUGUCUGCUGUUUAAUAGUCGAGGAACAUCUUACAACUCAAGGCUUUUAAAAUUUUAAGAUUUGCCACAAACCUCGUAUUUAUUUCAUUCUGCUUUAUUUAACUUUUCAUUUAACAGGAAUGAUCCCACUGAGAAUGAAAACAAUUUGUUCUGAAGGACUCAAUGUAGCAUCACAGUUCUACAUUAAAAACACAAUAACCCCAAAGUUUUUGAACAUCAAUUCUUUCAGCUCCAAUAAUCAAUAGCCCUACUUUUAACGUGUUUUCACACCAAUCUGGGACCAAAAUUGUAGUGUGUUACAGUUUCACCGACUGUGGUUUGCUUCCACACAAAAGCGAUCCAAAUACUUUGAAACCUGUUCCCCUCCUUGCCUGUGGGGGCGCUGCACCAAGAAUAACUGAAGUAAACAACACAAAAACCUCAGAAGAAGACACUGAACGCAACUUCCGCCUUCACAAAAUGUAAACAUAAAAGGAGCGGCGUCAGAUUUUAGCGGUUGUGCAAAUUGUUUCUGUCUUGUCCUUGGUAACUGCUAGACCUGUGCGUUUGUUUUGGUUGAAUUUACCCAGAAUGCCUUGCGCCGUAGUCCACUUCCUGCUUUUGGACCGUUUGAGCCGCACCGGAGUUUACUUCAACCGAACCCAAGCCUCGUCUUGUAGAAUUGGGUGUUUUGGUUCACAUCGGAGUAUUAUUAUUAAAGGCAGAGGGGUGUACAAACUUUUUUCACACAAGCUAAAAAAGUCCAGUUGAAAGUCCUUCUAGGCGAUAAAGAUUAUAUAUUUCUGCCACUGCAGAUCUGAGACAUAAACAAGGUCUUCCUUAUUCAAAGAAAGCUUCCUCAGAUGUAGUUGAAACGGCCCAGUCAAAGUUCAGAAGUAUCUAGAGACCACUGGGAGGCUAUGCGGCCAUAUUUUUAUGAAGGCUACUUUAUUUGUCAUUGUUUACAGUCUCUUCAGAUGCUUAUAGUUUAGUUUGUCUCCUGAGUUUGUUGCAAAAAGUUGAUGCUCUCUUCUUUAUUGCAAAUCUAAUAAAAAAAAGAACAGUUGUUGACUUGUUUAAAUUCUGGAGAUAAAAAGUAAGACUCAGCUUCUGUUUUUAAUAAACUUUGGAACGUUCAUUUGCAGGUU